Molecule: long non-coding RNA, 7005 nt
Filed under: Ananas comosus (pineapple)
Lineage: Eukaryota; Viridiplantae; Streptophyta; Magnoliopsida; Poales; Bromeliaceae
Description: long non-coding RNA (ACOM_LNC029062)
Source: RNAcentral
AAGGUUGACAUCGAUUCGUUUCAAAUUUACACUCUCGAGGCAUAAUAGAACAAUAUAAUUAGGUUUUACUCUUUGUUCGAUAGAAUGAGAAAAAGUACUCAUUGCAAAGUUAUACUGUUAGGGCGCAACCGAAUAGUCUAAUGUUGUUCCGGUUUUGGUUCUUGUGAACGCUGACAUCAAUUGGUUCGAAAUUACAACUCUCGGGGCAUAAUUGAACAAUAUAAAUUAGGUUUUACUCUUUGUUCGAUAGAAUGAGAAAAAGAACUCGUCGCAAAGUUAUACUGCUAGGGGGCAACUGAGUAGUCUAAUAUUGUUCCGGUUUUGGUUCUUGUGAACGUUGACAUCGAUUCGUUCCAAAUUUACACUCUCGGGGCAUAAUAGAACAAUACAAUUAAGUUUUACUCUUUGUUCGAUCGAAUGAGAAAAAGUACUCGUUGCAAAUUUAUAAUAUUAGGGCGCAGCUGAGUAGUCUAAUGUUGUUCCGGUUUUGGUUCUUGUGAAGGUUGACAUCGAUUCGUUCCAAAUUUACACUCUUGGGGCAUAAUAGAACAAUAUAAUUAGCUUUUACACUUUGUUCGAUCGAAUGGGAAAAAAGUACUCGUUACAAAGUUAUACUGUUAGGGCGCAACUGAGUAGUCUAUUGUUGUUCCAGCUUUGGUUCUUAUGAAGGUUGACAUCGAUUCAUUCCAAAUUUACACUCUCGCGGCAUAAUAGAACAAUAUAAUUAGCUUUUACACUUUGUUCGAUUGAAUGAGAAAAAGUACUAGUUGCAAAGUUAUAUUGUUGGGGUACAACAGAGUAGUCUAUUGUUGUUCCGGUUUUGGUUCUAGUGAAAGUUGACAUCGAUUCGUUCCAAAUUUACACUCUCGGGGCAUAAUGAAUAAAAUAAUUAGCUUUUACACUUUGUUCGAUUGAAUGAGAAAAAGUACUAGUUGCAAAGUUAUACUGUUGGGGCGCAACAGAGUAGUCUACUGUUGUUCCGGUUUUGGUUCUUGUUAAGGUUGACAUCGAUUCAUUCCAAAUUUACACUCUCGGGGCAUAAUAGGACAAUAUAAUUAGGUUUUACUCUUUGUUCGAUAGAAUGAGAAAAAGUACUCAUUGCAAAGUUCUACUGUUAGGGCGCAACUGAAUAGCGUUAUGUUGUUACGGUUUUGGUUCUUGUGAACGUUGACAUCGAUUCGUUCGAAAUUACAACUCUCGCGGCAUAAUUGAACAAUAUAAUUAGGUUUUACACUUUGUUCAAUAGAAUGAGAAAAAGUACUCGUCGCAAAGUUAUACUGUUGGGGCGCAACUAAGUAGUCUAAUGUUGUUCCGGUUUUGGUUCUUGUGAACGUUGACAUCGAUUCGUUCCAAAUUUACACUCUCGGGGCAAAAUAGGACAAUAUAAUUAAGUUUUACGCUUUGUUCGAUCGAAUGAGAAAAUGUACGCGUUGCAAAUUUAUACUGUUAGGGCGCAGCUGGGUAGUCUAAUGUUGUUCCGGUUUCGGUUCAUGUGAAGGUUGACAUCGAUUCGUUCCAAAUGUACACUCUUGGGGCAUAAUAGAACAAUAUAAUUAGCUUUUACACUUUGUUCAAUCGAAUGGAAAAAAAUACUCGUUGCAAAGUUAUACUGUUAGGGCGCAGCUUAGUAGUCUAAUGUUGUUCCGGUUUUGGUUCUUGUGAAGGUUGACAUCGAUUCGUUCUAAAUUUACACUCGCGGGGCAUAAUAGAACAAUAUAAUUAGCUUUUACACUUUGUUCGGUCGAAUGGGAAAAAGUACUCGUUGCAAAGUUAUACUGUUAGGGCGGAACUGAGUAGACUAUUGUUGUUCCGGUUUUGGUUCUUGUGAAGGUUGACAUCGAUUCGUUCCAAAUUUACACUCUUGGGGCAUAAUAGAACAAUAUAAUUAGUUUUUACACUUUGUUCGAUUGAUUAAGAAAAAGUACUAGUUGCAAAGUUAUACUGUUGGGGCGCAACAGAGUAGUCUAUUGUUGUUCCGGUUUUGAUUCUUGCUAAGGUUGACAUCGAUUCGUUCCAAAUUUACACUCUCGGGGCAUAAUAGAACAAUAUAAUUUGGUUUUACUCUUUGUUCGAUAGAAUAAGAAAAAGUAGUCAUUGCAAUGUUAUACUGUUAGGGCGCCACUGAAUAGUCUAAUAUUGUUCCGGUUUUGGUUCUUGUGAACGUUGACAUCGAUUCGUUCGAAAUUACAACUCUCGGGGCAUAAUUGAACAAUAUAAUUAGGUUUUACUCUUUGUUCGAUAGAAUGAGAAAAAGUACUCGUCGCAAAGUUAUACUGCUAGGGCGCAACUGAGUAGUCUAAUGUUGUUCCGAUUUUGGUUCUUGUGAACGUUGACAUCGAUUCGUUCCAAAUUUACACUCUCGGGGCACAAUUGAACAAUAUAAUUAGGUUUUACUCUUUGUUCGAUAAAAAGAGAAAAAGUACUCGUUGCAAAGUUAUACUGUUAGGGCGCAACAGAGUAGUCUAAUGUUGUUCCGGUUUUCGUUCUUGUGAACGGUGACAUCGAUUCGUUCCAAAUUUACACUCUCGGGNCUGGGAACUUGUUGUACACAAUCUCGUCGUUGUGCCUUGGGCGGACAGGGGAGGUACUGUCCGUACGGCGGUCCGCCGCCGUGCCCGAACCGAACCAAAUUGGUAUCGGCCUCGGGGCGGGGGCGUGACAGAAAAAUUACUAGUUGCAAAGUUAUACUGUUGGGGCGCAACAGAGUAGUCUAUUGUUGUUCCGGUUUUGGUUAUUGUUAAGGUUGACAUCGAUUCGUUUCAAAUUUACACUCUCGAGGCAUAAUAGAACAAUAUAAUUAGGUUUUACUCUUUGUUCGAUAGAAUGAGAAAAAGUACUCAUUGCAAAGUUAUACUGUUAGGGCGCAACCGAAUAGUCUAAUGUUGUUCCGGUUUUGGUUCUUGUGAACGCUGACAUCAAUUGGUUCGAAAUUACAACUCUCGGGGCAUAAUUGAACAAUAUAAAUUAGGUUUUACUCUUUGUUCGAUAGAAUGAGAAAAAGAACUCGUCGCAAAGUUAUACUGCUAGGGGGCAACUGAGUAGUCUAAUAUUGUUCCGGUUUUGGUUCUUGUGAACGUUGACAUCGAUUCGUUCCAAAUUUACACUCUCGGGGCAUAAUAGAACAAUACAAUUAAGUUUUACUCUUUGUUCGAUCGAAUGAGAAAAAGUACUCGUUGCAAAUUUAUAAUAUUAGGGCGCAGCUGAGUAGUCUAAUGUUGUUCCGGUUUUGGUUCUUGUGAAGGUUGACAUCGAUUCGUUCCAAAUUUACACUCUUGGGGCAUAAUAGAACAAUAUAAUUAGCUUUUACACUUUGUUCGAUCGAAUGGGAAAAAAGUACUCGUUACAAAGUUAUACUGUUAGGGCGCAACUGAGUAGUCUAUUGUUAUUCCAGUUUUGGUUCUUGUGAAGGUUGACAUCGAUUCGUUCCAAAUUUACACUCUCGGGGCAUAAUAGAACAAUAAAAUUAGCUUUUACACUUUGUUCGAUUGAAUAAGAAAAAGUACUAGUUGCAAAGUUAUAUUGUUGGGGUGCAACAGAGUAGUCUAUUGUUUUUCCGAUUUUGGUUCUGGUGAAGGUUGAUAUCGAUUCGUUCCAAAUUUACACUCUCGGGGCAUAAUGAAUAAAAUAAAUAGCUUUUACACUUUGUUCGAUUGAAUGAGAAAAAGUACUAGUUGCAAAGUUAUACUGUUGGGGCGCAACAGAGUAGUUUACUGUUGUUCCGAUUUUGGUUCUUGUUAAGGUUGACAUCGAUUCAUUCCAAAUUUACACUCUCGGGGCAUAAUAGAACAAUACAAUUAAGUUUUACUCUUUGUUCGAUCGAAUGAGAAAAAGUACUCGUUGCAAAAUUAUGCUGUUAGGGCGCAACUGAGUAGUCUAGUGUUGUUCCGAUUUUGGUUCUUGUGAAGAUUGACAUCGAUUCGUUCCAAAUUUACACUCUCGGGGCAUAAUAGAACAAUAUAAUUAGCUUUUACACUUUGUUCGAUUGAAUGAGAAAAAGUACUAGUUGCAAAGUUAUACUGUUGGGGCGCAACAGAGUAGUCUAUUGUUGUUCCGGUUUUGGUUCUUGUUAAGGUUGACAUCGAUUCGUUCCAAAUUUACACUCUCGGGGCAUAAUAGAACAAUAUAAUUAGGUUUUACUCUUUGUUCGAUCGAAUGAGAAAAAGUACUCGUUGCAAAGUUAUACUGUUAGGGCGCAACUGAGUAGUCUAAUGUUGUUCCGGUUUUGGUUCUUGUGAACGUUGACAUCGAUUCGUUCGAAUUUACACUCUCGCGGCAUAAUAGAACAAUAUAAUUAGGUUUUACACUUUGUUCGAUAGAAUGAGAAAAAGUACUCGUUGCAAAGUUAUACUGUUAGGGCGCAACUGAGUAGUCUAAUGUUGUUCCGGUUUUGGUUCUUGUGAACGUUGACAUCGAUUCGUUCCAAAUUUACACUCUCGGGGCAUAAUAGAACAAUAUAAUUAGGUUUUACGCUUUGUUCGAUUGAAUGAGAAAAAGUACUCGUUGCAAAGUUAUACUGUUAGGGCGCAACUGAGUAGUCUAAUGUUGUUCCGGUUUUGGUUCUUGUGAACGUUGACAUCGAUUCGUUCCAAAUUUACACUCUCGGGGCAUAAUAGAACAAUAUAAUUAGNNNNNNNNNNNNNNNNNNNNNNNNNAGAUCGAUUCGUUCCAAAUUUACACUCUCGGGGCAUAAUAGGAAGUUUUUACUUCUUGUUCGAUAGAAUAAGAAAAAGUACUCAUCGCAAAGUUAUACUGUUAUGGCGCAACUGAGUAGUCUAAUGUUGUUCCGGUUUUGGUUCUUGUCAACGUUGACAUCGAUUCGUUCUAAAUUUACACUCUCGACGCUUGAACAAUAUAAUUAGGUUUUACUCUUUAUUCGAUUGAAUGAGAAAAAGGACUAGUUGCAAUGUUAUACUGUUAGGGCUCAACUGAGUAGUCUAACGUUCUUCCGGUUUUGGUUCUUGUGAACGCUGACAUUGAUUCGUUCCGAAUUUACACCCUUGGGGCAUAAAAGAAAGCUUUUACUCCUUGUUCGAUGAUUGAGAAAAAGUACUCAUUGCAAAGUUAUACUGUUAUGGCGCAAUAGAGUAGUCUAAUGUUGUUCCGGUUUUGGUUCUUGUGAACAUUGACGUCAAUUAGUUCCAAAUUUACACUCUCGGGGCAUAAUAGAACAAUAUUAUUAUGUUUUACGCUUUAUUCGAUUGAACGAGAAAAAGUACUCGUCGCAAAGUUAUUCUAUUAGGCGCAACUGAGUAGUCUAAUGUAGUUCCGGUUAUGGUACUUGUGAACGUUGACAUCGAUUCGUUCCAAAUUUACACUCUCGGGGCAUAAUAGAAAGCUUUUACUCCUUGUUCAAUAGAAUUAGAAAAAGUACUCGUUGCAAAGUUAAACUGUUAAGGCACACAGAGUAGUCUAUUGUUGUUCCGAUUUUGGUUCUUGUCAACGUUGACAUCGAUUCGUUCCAAAUUUACACUCUUGGGGUAUAAUAGAACAAUAUAAUUAGGUUUUACUCUUUAGUCGAUUGAAUGAGAAAAAGUACUAGUUGCAAUGUAAUACUAUCAGGGCUCAACUGAGUAGUCUAACGUUGUUUCUGUUUUGGUUCUUGUGAACGUUGACAUCGAUUCGUUCAAAAUUUACACUCUCGGGGAAUAAUAAAAAGCUUUUACUCCUUACUCGAAACAAUGAGAAAAAGUACACGUUGCAAAGUUAUGCUAUUAUGGCGCAACAGAGUAGCCUAAUGUAGUUCCGGUUUUGGUUCUUGUCAACGUUGACAUCGAUUCGUUCCAAAUAUACACUCUCGGGGCAUAAUAGAACAAUAUCGUUUGGUUUUACUCUUUAUUCGAUUGAAUGAGAGAAAGUACUCGUUGCAAAGUUAUACUGUUAUGGCAAAACUGAGUAGUCAAAUUUAGUUCCUGUUUUGGUUCUUGUGAACUUUGACUUCGAUUCGUUCCAAAUUUAUACUCUCGAGGCAUAAUAGAACAAUAUUAUUAGUUUUGCUAUUUGUUCGAUUGAAUGAGAACAAGUUCUAGUUGCAAAGUUAUACUGUCAAGGCUCAACUGAGUAGUCAAACGUUGUUCCGGUUUUGGUUUUUGUGAACGUCAACAUCGUUACGUUGCAAAUUUACACUCUCGGGGCAUAAUAGAAAGCUUUUACACCUUGUUCGAUAGAAAGAGAAAAAGUACUCGUUGCAAAAUUAUAUUGUUAUGGCGCAACAGAGUAGUCUAAUGUUAUUUCAGGUUUGGUUCUUGUGAACAUUGACAUCGAUUCAUACCAAAUUUACACUCUCGGUGCAUAAUAGAACAACAUAAGUAGGUUUUGCUCUUUGUUCGAUUGAAUGAGAAAAAGUACUAGUUGCAAUCUUAUACUGUUAGGGCUCAACUGAGUUGUCUAACGUUGUUUCGGUUUUGGUUCUCGUGAACGUUGACAUCGAUUCNNNNNNNNNNNNNNNNNNNNNNNNNAUACUGUUAUGGCGCAACUGAGUAGUCUAAUGUUGUUCCAGUUUUGGUUCUUGUGAACGUUGACAUCGAUUCGUUCCAAAUUAAAACUCUCCGGUAAUAAUAGAACAAUAUAAUUAGGUUUUGCUCUUUGUUCGAUUGAAUGAGAAAAAAUACUAGUUGCAAAGUUAUACUGUUAGGGCUCAACUGAGUAGUCUAACGUUGUUCCGGUUUUAGUUCGUGCGAACGUUGACAUUGAUUCGCUCCAAAUUUACACUCUCGGGGCAUAAUAGAUAGCUUUUACUCCUUAUUCGAUAGAAUUAGAAAAAGUACUCGUUGCAAAGUUAAACUGUUAAGGCGCAACUGAGUAGUCUAGCGUUGUUCCAGUUUUGGUUCUUGUGAACGUUGACAUCGAUUCGUUCCAAAUUUACACUCUCGGGGUAUAAUAGAACAAUAUAAUUAGGUUUUACUCUUUGUUCAAUUGAAUAAGAAAAAGUACUGGUUGCAAUGUCAUACUGUUAGGGCUCAACUGAGUAGUCUAACGUUCUUCCGAUUUUGGUUCUCGUGAACGUUG